UGGGGAAUUUUGGACAAUGGGCGAAAGCCUGAUCCAGCCAUACCGCGUGAGUGAAGAAGGCCUUCGGGUUGUAAAGCUCUUUCAGCCGGAAAGAAAUUGCUUCUAUUAAUACUAGGAGUAGAUGACGGUACCGGAAGAAGAAGCACCGGCUAACUACGUGCCAGCAGCCGCGGUAAUACGUAGGGUGCGAGCGUUAAUCGGAAUUACUGGGCGUAAAGCGUGCGCAGGCGGUUUUUUAAGUCAGAUGUGAAAUCCCCGGGCUCAACCUGGGAACUGCAUUUGAAACUGGAAGACUAGAGUAUAGCAGAGGGGGGUAGAAUUCCACGUGUAGCAGUGAAAUGCGUAGAUAUGUGGAGGAAUACCAAUGGCGAAGGCAGCCCCCUGGGUUAAUACUGACGCUCAUGCACGAAAGCGUGGGGAGCAAACAGG
RNAcentral lists this ribosomal RNA (429 nucleotides) under uncultured bacterium. Its description in RNAcentral is "bacterial SSU rRNA". It matches the Rfam family "Bacterial small subunit ribosomal RNA", at positions 355 to 776 of the family's 1533-position model. The record is from RNAcentral.